This 6423-nucleotide long non-coding RNA is filed under the name Sus scrofa (pig). RNAcentral describes it as "lncRNA (ENSSSCG00040028544.1)". The record is from RNAcentral. Lineage: Eukaryota; Metazoa; Chordata; Mammalia; Artiodactyla; Suidae.
GCCAGCUGGGUGCUCUGGAAGCUGAGGAACCAGUUUUGGUGGGCAUCUGGCCAGUUUCUGCCACUGGGCUCAGGAUGAGAACAGCUGGACUGGGCUCUUCCCCGAGGGUAGUGGGGCAGUCUCCUGAUCUGCCCUGAUCACCCCUUUCAGAGCUCUGUCUCCUGCUGGAUGUGACCCCUUUGACCCAGCGAUUCUGCCGUUCCUGAAAUGAUGCUUGGAAUCUCAUUUUCAGUAUUCUCUUUAUAGCCUUUGACCAUUCUCAUAAAUUCAAGUUUUUAUCCUCUGAGGCUUCAUUUGAUGACUGGACUCACCAGAAAUCAUGUGGACCCAAAUCUGGGAACAAGAGGAUCAAUUAAGGCAUCUGUGGGUCGAAAAUGAAGUGUGACCAUAAGGCAAACUGACUCCUGAAUCUCAAGAUGAGAUCCCGACAUGACACGUUCUGAGGACUGACCAGGUCCCUGGGAUAAUUCUGUAAGGCCUCUCAAGGUGCUGAUUUGAAGAACAGCAUUUAUUUAGAUAAACUGUGUGUGAGAGAGAGCGAGAGCAUGUGUGUGCACAUGUCGUGAGCGACUCUAUAGUUUUGGUUCCACACAUCUUUUAUUCAUGAUCUAUGUUGGCCUCGUUUUGCCCAACCAGAGUGAAAGACCUUCGGUAAUAGGGCUGUAUCUUCAGUUAUAAACCAUCCCAAUUCAUGGUUUUUAGUAUUUUUUAUGUACCCUGUCCCACCCAUCCACCCCCCCAACUCAUCUUGGAUUCAUUCAGUCACUCAGCAGUUAUUUAUUGAAUGGCAAAGUGUACAGAGCCAUUUUUUUUUUUAUUCAGAAACUGUGAAACUAGAUGAUAGAUAGCAAUUGCUCCCCCAGUGGUCUGCAGCUCAGUUUGUAGGUGUGUUCUAGAGUGAAGGGGCAGGAAAUGGGCCCAGAUUUCUUGGAUGGCCAGGAAGAAAGGACACUGGACUUGGAAUAAGCUGCACUUGGAUGGGAAGAAAGGACACUGGGCUUGGAAUAAGCUGCACUUGGAUGGUUCACCCAGAAAGUUUUGAGAAGAGUAAUUAUUCAUCACAUUUUCUUAUAGACGGAGGACCCUGGCUCGCCUCUUCUCCAGGCUUUUUUUUACCUUCCUGGGUAAAAACAGUGCCCUGGAAAAUCUUCAUGUUUAUUUUAGAAUUAAUCCUGUUACCCCAAUACACCCAACCUGAGCUUCUCUUCCUUGUGAGCAAUAGGAGGAGGCAUAAGAAGUAGGGGCAGACCCUGUUCGAUAGCUGCAGUUCCAGGGACAAAUUUGAGAAUCCCAUCAUUUCAUCGUGCAGCUGUGUUCAGAGGUGAGGGUGUAAAGCUUUAUUUCUGAAAAUGUGGUUCACACUUAGCUGAUAGAAAAAAUGACUGGGGAUGCUUGCUAAAAUGCAGUUUCCCAGGCCCUUCCCAGAUGUGCUAGACCAGAAUUUCUUGGGUGGGAUCUAGAACAUACAUUUUAUUUAUUUAUUUUUUUUAUUUUGUUGUUGUUGUUGUUGUUGUUGUUGUUGUUGUUGUUGCUAUUUCUUGGGCCGCUCCCGCGGCAUAUGGAGGUUCCCAGGCUAGGGGUCGAAUCAGAGCUGCAGCCACCGGCCUACGCCAGAGCCACAGCAACGCGGGAUCCGAGCCGUGUCUGCAACCUACACCAUAGCUCACAGCAACGCCGGAUCAUUAACCCACUGAGCAAGAGCAGGGACCGAACCCGCAACCUCAUGGUUCCUAGUCGGAUUCGUUAACCACUGCGCCACGACGGGAACUCCUAGGACAUACAUUUUAAAGUAACCCCUCCCCCAGCUGAUUUUCUAAACUCUGAGGAGCACAGAUGGAAAGGUUUUGGGCUGACCUGAGCCUGAGACCCAUUUCCAUCAGCUCCAGGGUCUCUGAUGAGCCGCAGCAGUCCCAGACCAGAGCUCCAUCUGCUGUGUGCUGGAGAGGCAUGCCGGCCCAUGCUGGGGUCUGACAAACCAAACUGUGGGAGCCACUCUCCCAUGGACCACACUGAUGAGCCAGAGACAAAGCACUGCCGAACAUCAUUCCACUAAGAACAGUGAGGGGGGCUGCACCACCUUCCUGUGCACAGAUGUGUAUGUGUUUGCAGCUGUGGGUCUCUUUGCAGGCCUGGGUAUACACAUUUUGUCCUCUCUGCCACUGGCUGGUACAGCCCCUCCCUGACCUCUCAGCCCAGCCUCCACCUCCAUUCCUUCCAGUUCCUGCCUCUCAGGGUGCUAGAGAGGUGCCUACCGGGGCUCCCAUCUGCAACUGGGGUCCUGUGAUUCAUGGUCAAAUCCUUAGAAAUAAGAAAAUCUUUACUGAGCCAGGCAUUAUCCUCGACACCCAUAUGCAUUGUCUCCUUUGAUCCUCAGAAAAACUCAGUGAGGUAGGGGUUGUUAUUUCCCCCAUUUUAAAGAUGAAGAAAUUGAGGCUCGGGAAAGUUUUUAGCUAGUAAGUGGUCCUAUGGGAUUUGAACUCACAUCAUUCAUUGUUCACGGUCCCAUGCAGGCUGGCCCAGACCCUAAGUCCUCAACAGCUUCUUCACCUCUAGGGUAGGUGUUGGCAAACUAUAGUCCCAUGUGCCCAAUCAAGCCCAGAGCCUGUUGUUUUUUAAAUGGGGGUGAAAUUCAUAUGAAAUAAAAUUAACCAUUAUAACCACUGCCUGUUUUUGAAAAUAAAGCUUUAUUGGCACAGAGCCAGGCCCAUUGAUUCACGCGUGGCUUGUGGCUGCCUUCCCACCGCAAUGGCAGAGUGGAAUGGCUGUGACAGAGGCCACAUGUUACUCAAAGCCUAAGAUAUUGACUAUCUGGCUCUUUAUGGAAAAAGUUUCCUGGGAGGUCCUGUUGUGGCUUAGCAGGUUAAGAACCUGACUAGAAUCCAUGAGGAUGCAGGUUCAAUCCCUGGCCUUGCUCAGUGAGUUAAGGAUUUGGUGUUGCCACAAGCUGCAGGGUAGGUCACAGAUGUGGCUUGGAUCUGGUGUUACUGUGGCUGUGAUAUAGGCUGGCAGCUGCAGCUCUGAUUUGAUCCCUAGCCUGGGAACUUCCAUAUGCCGGCAGUGUGGCCCUAAAAAGAAGUUUCCCGGCACCUGCUUUAGAGGGUUUGAUCUGGAUCUGGGCCCUUGGGAGUGAGUUUCCUCAGACAUCUGUCACCAUUAAGAAAGUAAUGGUGACAUUACUAUCAUUCCUGAAAGUAAACUUUCCUCUUUGAUGGGGUGCUAUGCAUCAUGGACCUGACUCCUCAAGUACCCCAAUUUCUCCUCCUUCCUCCAGUGUCCAUCCCCAUACAGGUCAGUUCUGGCAAACACACACCUUGGGCCCGAUCUGCCAGGUGCCUCCCCAUUUUUCUUUCUUCCGCUGCCGACUGGUGUGGGUGGUUUAUGCCUGGGCAUCCCCCUUGCUCUCCUGAUAGUUUGUUUCCCUCCUGACCUCUGCAACCCAACUAGUGUCCUUCAGCCAGCCUUUUGCAUCUCUACAUGGAUGUCUUGGAGUUACACGAAAUCCGGGCACUCCCCCGGCAUCCUUUGCUGAGGCCACUUUAUCCAUUAACUUGCCAUCUCAUCUCAGUUACUUUGGGGCCUUCUUCGCCUCUCUCUUUCCUUACAUCUGUUCUGUUGCCAGACUCUGUUGCCUUUUGGGGAAAUAUCUCUUGGGCAGCUCUCUUCCUCGUUCCCACCAGCAAUUCCUCGGUCCAUGCCUUCAUCACGUCAGGUCAGGAUGGCUCCGGUGGUUCCUGACUGCUCUCCCUCCCUCCCAGUCUCUUUUCUGAUCUGCUCUCUCUAGCUCCAUUUUCAAACACUGAGAGUGCGAGUCAUAUCAGGCCCUUGGAGUUGCCUUCUCCAUCCUUUCCAGCCUCUUCUCCCCACAUUGUGCUGAACACAGCGGGUCUUCAUAGGACUCAGCACCUGUACAACAUGCUUUAUUUCGCUUAGCCUGUUCUCCUUUGUUUGGUAAACUCCUAAGCAUUCUUUAAGAAAUAAUUCUUUGUCUUUUUUUUUUUUUUUUUUUCUUUUUAAGGCUGCACCUGGGCACAUGGAAGUUCCCAGGCUAGGGGUCCAAUCAGAGCUACAGCUGCCAGCCUCCACCACAGCCACAGCAACACAGGAUCUGAGCCACUCACACACAGCAACCUACACCACAGCUCACAGCAAUGCCAGAUCCUUAACCCGCUGAGGCCAGGGAUCAAACCUGCAUCCUCAUGGAUACUAGUCAGGUUCAUUAGCCACUGAGCCACGACAGGAACUCCUAAUGUAAAAGCUCAUCCCACAAAUAUUUUUUUUCAAACAUAUUUGGUUCUGUGUAACAGUUUGGUAAAGAGAAGACACAGAAAAGCAAAGCAGAAAAAAAGGAGGAUGAGGUGACUGAGAAAAGGCAGUGGAAGCAAGUCUUGAUGGAGACACAGAGAAGUGGAUGGGCCAGGAGGCCCUCAGCAGCGUGAAGUGAGACGAGAGGAAAAGUGGAGCUUGUGAUGCCCAGAAACGGCCCACGGAGGAGACUCCUGAGAGCAGAAAGCAACACGAAGGCCAGGAGAAAGGGGAGUCCAGUGGGGUACAGGGGGAGAUGGCGCCCCAGCCUCGCCGGCCGAGGCAGAGAGGGCAGCCGGUGCAGGGAGCAGUGUGGGUGUGGGGAGUCGGCAUGGAGGUGAGUUCAGGACUUGCCCCCAGUUGCUCACCUGGGCUGUGUGAGGGGUGUGAGUUAAUCACCACUUUUUGAAAGACAGGGGAGCUUACAGUCCCACAAGGACACCUUCCCAGGGACCCGGAUCCGGACCUUACACUUGGCAAGUCCUCACUAAAUUCGUGUUGACUUAUGGAUUGAAUGAAAUGAUGCCUCCACACCCAGGACCCCCUGCCCACGGCGAGAACGUGUGCACCUUCCUGAGGGCCUCGGCCACUCUGCCUGGUGUCCUGGCAUCCCAGGAAUUUCCCUGCCUGCUCUGGGGAGGAUUUUCCACGCUAGAAGCUUUUGCAAAAUCAGACCGCUUUAUCAGAAUCCCGUUGCGCUGGAGAAUGUUCCUGGCUGCUUGACGUUUACAGUGUGUGACCGAUUUUAUCACAGGAAUGUUGUUUGGAAAGAAACGGUCCUCGCAGAUGGGCAGACAAGAGAUGGAAGGUCAUUCGAGGACCCACCCAAGCUGUCGAAGUUGGAGCUCAGGGUUGCUGUACAUGAUGCUUGGGAGCCUGGCCAAGCCGUGAGCAAGCCUUCCUCCCUGGAGGAGGUCCCAGCACGGCUGUGGCGGGCUUGCCUUGCCGUGUUUACAUUUUCACCUUGGCCUCCAAAGCAAACGCCUCUGGAGCCCUGCACCAGCGGGGCCAAGCAGCAGCAAGGACUCCCCAGGCUUGGGGUCCAGCAGGCAGCCCAGCUUGGCCUGGACAGAACAAAUCUGUCCCUGACAUACUGGAAAGGGACAGAAAGGGCCUCUCCCAGGAGGUCAAAAAAUCGGGAGCCAGGUUUACUCCUUUAAUCCUUUGUCAAAAUCCCAAGACUCUGCUCACUGGAACUCUGAACAAAACAGUGGGGAUAUAGCAAGCGGUCCCUCUCCUGGUACAGCCCUGGUGCUGUCAACGCUGGCACGGCAGCUUCUGUCUGCAGGGGUUUGGAUGUGUCGUGGGCAGAGUAGGAUGCAGAGACUGAGACUGAGAUGGAAAGGAGAGGUCAGGAGAGGGCAGAAGUCUUUGUUCCUGGUGGGAGGGACUCCACCCUGACAUGGGAGAGGCUGGCGUGGCACAGUUCGGCCCGAGGUUGCUGGAUGCUGGUCAACAGAGAGGAGCCAGCUGGAAAGAGCCAGUGCUGCUGGACACUGUCUGCUAAUCUCUGAGGGCCCUGAACAGGGGCAGGGGGUGCCAGCACGUGGGUCUCAUUCUCUACAGCUCUUUUUCAGCUUUUUCAUUCUAGUGGGUGGAAGCCUGUCCCCAGAGAGAUUUAUUCAAACCCUAACCCCUGGUACCUGUGGCUUUAUUUGAAAAGAUCUUUGCAGAUGUAAGCAAGUAAAAUGAGAUCAGACCGAAUUAGGCUGGGCUCUGAACCCCAGGACUGGUGUCCUUAUAAGAAGUCCAGGUGACAACACACAGCACAGGAAGGAAGAAGGCCAGGUGGUGAUAGAGGCAAGGACCAGAGUGAUGCAUCCACAAGCCAAGGGACACCAAGGCUUGCCAGCCGCCACCAGAAAUUGGGAAGAGGUGAGGGAGAACCGUCUCCUAGAACCUUCAGAGGGAACACAGACCAGCCGAUACCCUGAUUUUGGACUUUCAGCCUCCGGAUCUAUGAGAAGAUAAUCUUCUGUGUUUUAAGCUACCCAGUUUAUCAGUGUUUUGUUUACAGUAGGCCCAGGAGAUGAGUAUAUUCGUGUUUCUCAAAAUUUCAUCUCCUGAGGCCCUUCCCCUUCGGUCCCUCCACUCUUAGCAAAGAGCCUUGGAUUCAUUAUU